Dufourea novaeangliae is the source of this 307-nucleotide long non-coding RNA. RefSeq lists it as uncharacterized. NCBI's taxonomy places the organism in Eukaryota, Metazoa, Arthropoda, Insecta, Hymenoptera, Halictidae. The record is from RefSeq and is a predicted model, not a curated record. The transcript is spliced from 3 exons.
CAAAAGAGAUUCAAAGUAAACAUGUCACAAGUAGUCGGGUUCUUUUUCUUUCUUAUUUCUGUCAUCUGCAUGUCAGGAUUGAUGAUGACACCUGCUGCAAAGACAUGUGCUGGGGUAUUCAACUGCUACCAUCCCUUGAUUAGAGCGAUUUGCACGGAACAAUGUAAAGGAGUAUGAUUUGAAAAGGUUUGAAGGUUUCCAUCAUGGAUGUCAGCGUGCAAAUAUUGCCUUCAAGUGUUCUUUCAAUUCUUAUUAUAUUAUAUUAUAAUUGGAUAUUAAUAAAAAAUAAAAUGUUCUGCAUCGUUAA